This 20-nucleotide unclassified non-coding RNA is filed under the name Mus musculus (house mouse). RNAcentral describes it as "oocyte_clustered_small_RNA5278". The record is from RNAcentral. Lineage: Eukaryota; Metazoa; Chordata; Mammalia; Rodentia; Muridae.
AGGUCGCUCUUGGGAGGAAG